AUGAACGCUGGCGGCGUGCCUAAUACAUGCAAGUCGAGCGAACGGACGAGAAGCUUGCUUCUCUGAUGUUAGCGGCGGACGGGUGAGUAACACGUGGAUAACCUACCUAUAAGACUGGGAUAACUUCGGGAAACCGGAGCUAAUACCGGAUAAUAUUUUGAACCGCAUGGUUCAAAAGUGAAAGACGGUCUUGCUGUCACUUAUAGAUGGAUCCGCGCUGCAUUAGCUAGUUGGUAAGGUAACGGCUUACCAAGGCAACGAUGCAUAGCCGACCUGAGAGGGUGAUCGGCCACACUGGAACUGAGACACGGUCCAGACUCCUACGGGAGGCAGCAGUAGGGAAUCUUCAGAAAUGGGCGAAAGCCUGACGGAGCAACGCCGCGUGAGUGAUGAAGGUCUUCGGAUCGUAAAACUCUGUUAUUAGGGAAGAACAUAUGUGUAAGUAACUGUGCACAUCUUGACGGUACCUAAUCAGAAAGCCACGGCUAACUACGUG
RNAcentral lists this ribosomal RNA (496 nucleotides) under uncultured bacterium. RNAcentral describes it as "partial 16S ribosomal RNA". It matches the Rfam family "Bacterial small subunit ribosomal RNA", at positions 29 to 507 of the family's 1533-position model. The record is from RNAcentral.